RNAcentral lists this ribosomal RNA (484 nucleotides) under uncultured bacterium. RNAcentral's name for it is "bacterial SSU rRNA". It matches the Rfam family "Bacterial small subunit ribosomal RNA", at positions 955 to 1437 of the family's 1533-position model. The record is from RNAcentral.
AGAUACGCGCAGAACCUUACCAACACUUGACAUGUUCGUCGCGACUCUAAGAGAUUAGAGUUUUCGGUUCGGCCGGACGAAACACAGGUGCUGCAUGGCUGUCGUCAGCUCGUGUCGUGAGAUGUUGGGUUAAGUCCCGCAACGAGCGCAACCCUCACUUUUAGUUGCCAUCAUUAAGUUGGGCACUCUGAAAGAACUGCCAGUGAUAAGCUGGAGGAAGGUGGGGAUGACGUCAAGUCCUCAUGGCCCUUACGUGUUGGGCUACACACGUGCUACAAUGGCAUCUACAACAGGAAGCAAAACGGCAACGUUAAGCAAAUCCCGAAAAGAUGCCUCAGUUCGGAUUGCACUCUGCAACUCGAGUGCAUGAAGCUGGAAUUACUAGUAAUCGUGGAUCAGCGUGCCACGGUGAAUGCGUUCCCGGGUCUUGUACACACCGCCCGUCACACCAUGGGAGUUGGUUCUACCNUAAGGCAAGGUUUNA